Long non-coding RNA from Phyllostomus hastatus (greater spear-nosed bat), 317 nucleotides. RefSeq lists it as uncharacterized. The transcript is spliced from 3 exons. The record is from RefSeq and is a predicted model, not a curated record. NCBI's taxonomy places the organism in Eukaryota, Metazoa, Chordata, Mammalia, Chiroptera, Phyllostomidae.
AGACGGGGCGUUGUCGUGUGCAACCUUGGAGACUGGCUUCUUUCCCAUCGCAGGAUAAUAAUAAUAGCGAGUGCCUUCCCCCUGGGAAACUAGGCAGCAGAGCAGGCCAAGAGGUUAACCAGAGGAAGUUAUUCAGAAGACAAUUAACUUCUCUCCAACCGGCAGCUCAUUGUAGGAACUGGAGCAAGGUUUUAGAGAUAACAGUACGUUGGCAUGCGUGGGCCUUCCUCAUCUGCAUCAACAGCUGUGUGACAUGCAGUUGUACUGCUGCAGCCGGGGGUUCUGGGUUCUUGUCACGACAAAACCGUUGCAAUGAC